UACGUAGGGUGCAAGCGUUAUCCGGAUUUACUGGGCGUAAAGCGUCCGUAGGCGGUAUGGUAAGUGGUGGGUUAAAGACUCUGGCUCAACUAGAGGAAAGCUCGCCAAACUGCCAAACUAGAGCUAGUUCGGGGAUACUGGAAUUCUCGGUGGAGGGGUGAAAUCCGUUGAUAUCGAGAAGAACGCCAAAGACGAAGGUAAGUAUCUAGAACUAUGCUGACGCUCAGGGACGAAAGCUAGGGUAGCAAACUGGAUUAGAGACC
This 263-nucleotide ribosomal RNA is filed under the name uncultured bacterium. RNAcentral's name for it is "partial 16S ribosomal RNA". It matches the Rfam family "Bacterial small subunit ribosomal RNA", at positions 524 to 786 of the family's 1533-position model. The record is from RNAcentral.